GCUUAGAGUUUGAUCCUGGCUCAGAAUGAACGCUGGCGACAUGGCUAAGACAUGCAAGUCGAACGGACCAUUUUGAAGAGUAAUCGGAUUGAUGGUUAGUGGCGAAAGGGUGAGGAAUAGAUAGGUAACGUACCGUAGGUUCCGGAAUAGCUCAUCGAAAGAUGGGGUAAUGCCGGAUGACGUCCUCUGUUUAAUGCAGGGGACCAAAGAUUUAUCGACCUUCGAGCGGCCUAUCUCCUAUCAGCUUGUUGGUGAGGUAACGGCUCACCAAGGCGACGACGGGUAGCGGGACUGAGAGGUUGGCCCGCCACAUCGGAACUGAGACACUGUCCGGACCUCCACGGAGGGCUGCAGUAACGAAUAUUGGGCAAUGGGCGAAAGCCUGACCCAGCAAUGCCGCGUGCAGGAUGAAGCCCCUCGGGGUGUAAACUGCUUUCAGGGAUUAGAAAGCUCCGGUUGAUCAAUCCCAGAAGAAGUCACGGCUAACUUCGUGCCAGCAGCCGCGGUAAUACGAAGGUGGCAAGCGUUAUUCGAAAUCACUGGGCUUAAAGGGUGCGUAGGCGGAUAUGCAAGUGUCUUGUGAAAUCCCCCGGCUUAACCGGGGAAUGGCUUGGCAAACUGCAUAUCUUGAGGCAAGUAGGGGUGUGUGGAACUCUUGGUGGAGCGGUGGAAUGCGUAGAUAUCAAGAGGAACGCCGAAGGUGAAGACAGCACACUGGACUUGUUCUGACGCUGAGGCACGAAAGCGUGGGGAGCAAACAGGAUUAGAUACCCUGGUAGUCCACGCCGU
Molecule: ribosomal RNA, 789 nt
Filed under: uncultured bacterium
Lineage: Bacteria
Description: bacterial SSU rRNA
Rfam family: Bacterial small subunit ribosomal RNA
Source: RNAcentral